Molecule: ribosomal RNA, 497 nt
Filed under: uncultured bacterium
Lineage: Bacteria
Description: partial 16S ribosomal RNA
Rfam family: Bacterial small subunit ribosomal RNA
Source: RNAcentral
GAUGAACGCUGGCGGCGUGCCUAAUAUAUGCAAGUCGAGCGAACAGACGAGGAGCUUGCUCCUCUGACGUUAGCGGCGGACGGGUGAGUAACACGUGGAUAACCUACCUAUAAGACUGGGAUAACUUCGGGAAACCGGAGCUAAUACCGGAUAAUAUAUUGAACCGCAUGGUUCAAUAGUGAAAGACGGUUUUGCUGUCACUUAUAGAUGGAUCCGCGCCGCAUUAGCUAGUUGGUAAGGUAACGGCUUACCAAGGCAACGAUGCGUAGCCGACCUGAGAGGGUGAUCGGCCACACUGGAACUGGGACACGGUCCAGACUCCUACGGGAGGCAGCAGUAGGGAAUCUUCCGCAAUGGGCGAAAGCCUGACGGAGCAACGCCGCGUGAGUGAUGAAGGUCUUCGGAUCGUAAAACUCUGUUAUUAGGGAAGAACAAAUGUGUAAGUAACUAUGCACGUCUUGACGGUACCUAAUCAGAAAGCCACGGCUAACUACGUG